Molecule: long non-coding RNA, 3240 nt
Organism: Cuculus canorus (common cuckoo)
Lineage: Eukaryota; Metazoa; Chordata; Aves; Cuculiformes; Cuculidae
Exons: 4
Source: RefSeq, a predicted model, not a curated record
AGAGAGGGGAGUGGGCUGUGGUGUUGCCAGGGUGUGCAGAUGGCAGCAGGGUCCCAGGAAUGGCCACACAGGAGCAAGGGCUGCCUGGGUGCAGCUCGGCUCCGUGCCGGGAGCUGGCAGUGCCUGGUCAGUGCCCAACCCGAGGGACCCACGGCGGUGUCCUUGCUGGGAGCCUGGGGAGCCGGGGCAGCCCGCGGCACUGCUGGGCACUGCACUGGGAUGAUGCUGUCCCGCCAAGGGCCAUGUGCCUGUUGGUAUCACACAGUCCCAUUUCCCUGGGGAUUUGGUGACAGCUCUGUGGGACGCAGCGGGGUGUCUCUGGAAAGCCACCUGCAUAGAGGGAUUUCUGCAGUCCAGAAGCACUGCUCCUGACAGAGCCUCCAGAAAUCCUUCUUAAACCAGGGUGGGACGGUGGCACAUGUUCCCAGCCCAGCUGUCAACACUCCAAGAACACCGAAAGCUUUAAAUAGCACCAAACUUCAUCUUGCAAACACUGGCGUCGCUCAGGCCAGCGACAAGCAUUGUAGCUGGGAGGGAGGGAUGGAGCAGAGUAUGUGUGAAACCACGUAUCUCUUAUUGCUGCCAUCCUCAGGUUUGGUCUUUCCCAUUCCCUCUCACCGUUUUGCUUUAGCUGAGAGUGCAGGGAAGCAAGAGCCGACGAGCCCUGGCUGUGAGAACGCUUCGCUCCUGGGUGCCCUGAGCAGCCUGGCCGUGCUGCAGCUCCACGGUGGAUGGGAGAUACUUAUCCAGUGACACCAUGUGACGGCGAGGGGUUUAUACGGAGCGACAGCAUCACCCAAAUGCUUCCGCAUGGAGACAACGCAUGGAUGCAAGGAGGGGACAGGGACAGGCUCACCUGCACCCCGGGCAGCCUCUCGCGGUGGGCGAGCAGCUCCUUCUCAGCCAGCAGCAGCACGGUGUGGAUGCAGCCCGGUGAGACGCUCUGCAGAAGGCAGGGAAGAGUCAAACUCCAUGGUGCAGCACCCAGAUCUCCUGCCCCUGGGCUUGGCAGGAGGAGAGCAAGUCCCUUCUUGGUGCCCUGAUCUGCAAGCAUCCUGCCAAGCUUCCUGCACUCCGGCCGUCGGACCGCUGUUCUCCUAACACUCGGUCUUUGCACAAUUCCUCGGAGUGACAGGAGACCUUGCUGUGGAAAAGUCUCGUGCAGGGUGAAGCUCAGCUCCUGCAGGGCCCCAGAGCAGCCGCCCACUCCCACGCACUGAGUCCAGCCAGGUGCUCACCACAUCCCUCUCUUGGCACCACGGAGCUCAGCUCUUCCCCGUGCAGGAAGAGGAGCAAAGGGGGAUCCGUCCGGCUGCUGGUGCUGCCAUGAGAGAUGGGCCAGGGCUGCCUGCCCUGCCUCUGCCAGAGCCCCUGCCCCGAGUCACCCUCGCACAGCCCUGGCACAUCCCAACGGCAGCUCUUUGGAAAACCAGCUAAACUCUUUAAGUCAUGUAGCGCUGAUAAAAAAGCAAAAGGAACCAGAAAAAGGAGCCAGGUCCCCUGAGAUGAGGCUGCCAUGGCUGUGGCCACAGGGCAACGAUCAGCCCCAGAUCCAACCGUGCUGCUGAGGAGGGCUCAGCAGGGUGGAGGGCGCAGACUGCCACCCAACAGGGCCAUGGUGCACUCUUCUCGCAGCCCCAUCCCGCACCCAUUGUCUCUUGUGACACCGUCCCCCCAGUCCCCUGCAGCCUCCUCCGGCCGUGGCACACACAGCACGUGCAGCCCAGUCCCGCACCUUGGUGGCAGGGGAGAAACACACAGAGUUUGGGUAAACCAACUGGGAUAAACUGAGGGUGUCUGGGGGAGGGGAUAGCCCUGCUGAAGGAGGGAAAAGGAAAAUCUUCCAAGCCACCACCAAAACUCCACAGCCCAGGGACGUGCCAGGGGAUGGAUCAACUGAAUAAAGAAAGCUGCUCCCCAGUCAAUGGAAUAAAACCGCCCAGGAAUCUGUCCAGCAGGACCGUGCGAACCAGUGUCGGGACAGAACCACUGACCCCUGGCAGCCUCAUCCCCCUGUGCCAGGGGAUAUUUUGUCCUGGAAAGACUAAAGCCAUUUUCAUUGAGUGCCACAAAACGCUUUGUCGCUGGGAAAGGUGUUGGGGUUACCACGGCGCUGCAUUAGUGGGAGAAGCGGAGGCCAGGCCAGCCGGGGAGCCGAUAGGAAUCCAAAAGCAAGCAAUUAGCCCCUGUCCCUUCGCCAGCUGCGAGAGAGCGCAGAACCAAAACAAAAGGCAUUAGGGAGCAUAAGGAGAUUUACAUUUGCAAAGCUAUUUCCAUUUCAAUAAGCCAAAGUACUGUUAAAUAGAGAUUGAUAUUUCUCCCCAAAUACCCAUAUCUUUUAAAGUGGUUUACACCAACAAGACGAGCCAGGCGUUGGUGUUUUGGUGCUGGAAAGUUGCUUAACUCAAACCCAAAGCCACAGGAUGACUCAGCUCCGGCUCCUUUCUCCCUCUUUCUCAGGGAAGAUUGAGGUUGGAGUGCUGGGACCAGCCCUGAAUAUCAAUUCCUCUCCCUCUCCUGCAGCCUCCACUGUCAACAGCUUUGGCAGGGCACGACGCAAACGCUAACGAAGAGCCCCAGCCCAGCAGGGUGGGAGGCCAGUGUUCCACACAGCAUUGCCCAGCAAACCUGGGCAACGGCGUGUGCCGGCUGUGGUGACAAAAAAGAUGGCCAGCCUGGGGACGGAUUCACCGAGCAUCCCACACCUGCACACCAGGUUUGGUUCCUGCAGUAGCUCCCACUGCUGCACCCCAUCCCGCUGCCAAACUUGGUGGGGAAGUUUGAGCAUCGCAGGCUGCAGCCCUGCAGGCACCUGCCCAGUCAGCCAGCAGCCACCGCUGCCUUCACACCCGACCUGUGCUUUUGCACCCGAUCUGCUCCAUCGCUCCCAACCUGCACCUUUGCAUCCAACCUGCACCUCCACACCCAUCCUCUGCCAUCACUCCUCAUCUUUGCCUUCCCACCCACCCUCCACCUUCACACCCAACCCUCUGCCUUCGCACCUGACCUGCACCUUCGCACCUGACCUUUGCUUUCACACCCAGCCUGCGCCAUCGCUCCUGACCUGCACCGUUGCAUCCGACCUGCGUCUUCACACCCGACUCCCACAUUCACACCCACCCUUUGCCCGCACCCUCUGCCGUUGCACCCAACUCUCCGCCUUCGCCCCCACCCGUGCCAUCGCUCAGACGCGCACCCCAUUCUCUGGGGGUGCCGCAGAUGGCAGCGAGCGGGGAAGCU